CACGUAGUUAGCCGGGGCUUCUUGGUCAGGUACUGUCAUUUUCUUCCCUGCUGAUAGAACUUUACAUACCGAAAUAUUUCUUCGUUCACGCGGCGUCGCUGCAUCAGGGUUCCCCCCAUUGUGCAAUAUCCCCCACUGCUGCCUCCCGCAGGAGUCUGGGCCAUGUCUCAGUCCCAAUGUGGCCGGCCGCCCUCUCAGGCCGGCUACUGAUCGCAGCCUUGGUGGGCCGUUACCCCGCCAACAAGCUAAUCAGACGCGGGCCCAUCCCGUACUGCCGGAGCUUUCCCCGCAGGGCCAUGCGGCCCCGCGGGAACUAUGCGGUAUUAGCAGCCGUUUCGGCUGUUGUCCCCCGGUAGGGGCAGGUUCGCCCACGCGUUGCUCACCCGUCCGCCACUCCAGUCCCCCGCGGCCUUUCCCCCGGAGGGUCCGCCGCGAGGCCGCUUCGUUCGACUUGCAUGUGUUAGGCACGCCGCCAGCGUUCACUCCUGGACGUCCAGGAUCCAAACGUCCUA
RNAcentral lists this ribosomal RNA (512 nucleotides) under uncultured Lachnospiraceae bacterium. RNAcentral's name for it is "partial 16S ribosomal RNA". Lineage: Bacteria; Bacillati; Bacillota; Clostridia; Lachnospirales; Lachnospiraceae. The record is from RNAcentral.